Molecule: long non-coding RNA, 5046 nt
Organism: Equus caballus (horse)
Lineage: Eukaryota; Metazoa; Chordata; Mammalia; Perissodactyla; Equidae
Source: Ensembl
CAAGGGUGGGCCAUCAGAGUGGCCCCCAGCAUCAGAGGGCGGGAGAGGAGCAGGGGGCUGCAGAGCGGCAGGGCCCCUCACUUCCCGCCCCGAGGAGGUGCUAUCCCAUACUCCAGGGGGCCCUCUUUUGGCCUCUCCAACUUCAGAUAACUACCCUGUCUCCUUCUACACGCCCCCCUGCAACCCUGUACUCCCUGCCCCCAGCUCGCUGCCACCGACAGGCCUGACCUCAUCCUGUGCCCCAAGAAAAUACCUUAGAAAUCCAUCUUAUUGCAGUAUAAUUUACACACAAUGGAUGACACCCAUUUCACUGUCCAGCUCCAGGAGUCCUGUACCAAUGUGUGUGCCUGUGUGAACCCUCUGCCUCCUCCUGUCCAUCUCCCCCACCUGGCCGCAGGCAGCUCGGCUGCUUUCUGUCACUGUCAUUACAUUUGCCGGGAAAGUGAAUCUAAAUAGGGGCAUGAACCACUGAAUGUGACAAGAUCUGAACACAGACUUUUCAUGGUUCCCAAGAGUGCCACCAGGGCAAGUAGCCAGCAUGUGGCAGUUGGCAGAACCAUGGCCGCCUGAGCUGGGAACCUCAGUCACCCAGGGUGCUGGGCACACAGGAUGCUGGCGGCUCUGUGCCUUGGGACACACUCAGGCGGAUGAGGCCCGGCCUGCGGAGGGGUGGGCCUGCCGAGGAAUGCCAGCGGCCGGCUGCGGGGCAGGGUCAGCGGGGGCGACCGCAGCAUGUUGCUAAGCUACGGGCACAAUGGACAUUCCGGCCACUAAGCAACCGAGGAGAAGCUUCUCAGCGGGGGGAGGACCGGGGGCCCAGGCCACCCCCAUCCCCUGCCCGGCGGCCUGGCAGGGACAUCAAGGUGCACUGGCUGCCCAGCUCCCCCUCCCAGCACCCUCUGUGGUCCAGGCCCACGAGCUGGGAGUCCAGGCAGAGGGUGGCCAGUGGGGGUGCCUGCACCUGGGCUGACCCAGCUCUCCGGGCCGGCCACCUCCCCCUUGCCUCUGCCUCCUCUGGUCACGCUUCCUGGCCUGUCCCCCAGGUCCGAGUGCAGGGCGCCCAGGGGGUCCUGGCCAGAGCUUAGAGCUUUUGGUGGGACCCUGGCCCUCCACUCCCUGCCCUGUCCCCAGCCCUUGUGUUCAGCACCCCCACCUCGAGCCCAGCCUGGGCGAGGCUGGCUCUGCUUGCGGCCACACCUGGCAGGGCCCCGAGCCCCCUGCGGCCGUCGCCAGUGUCCAGCCUGGCCUCUGUUUGUCUGGGACAAGAUGAGGGGUUUUGUUUUCUCCCUUGGGCUCCACUUCCUCCCUCCGUGGAGAGACUGCUAAGGAGCUCCAGGCCUGAGGGCUGCCAGCUGGCGGCUGGGGCAGCGGGCUCUGCGGGCAGGCGAGGGAGGUCUGAGCCAAUCCUUUGAGUCCCAUAGAUGGCGACGGAGCUCCUGGGUCCAGCCACCAGGGCUUUGCCCUCGCAGUGCCCCCUCUAGCACCUUCAGUCCCACUGGGCGGCCUCCACCCUACAGCCCUAAGUGACUGACAUCCCAGGACGGCAGCUAGCCUGUCUCUGAUCUAAUGGUGGUUUCCGGGGUCCCAGCUAAACUGCACAUUCCUUGCAGUCCAGGAACGUGUUUGGAUCCCCCCUGUGCUGGGCCCGACAGAGGGCAGGCGCUGGAUAAAUGCAGCUGCAGCGCCCACCAGGCAAUGUCGCCACCCUUUUGCGCUCUCGGGUUCCCCACUGCUGCUUUUCACAGCUUUUGUCACUCUGCUGUAUCUCCGCUGACCCCCACUGGGCUGGCUCCCUGGUCCCUGCACAGGAGAUGCCUAGUGCAGUCUGGAGGAGGUGACCCGCCUUCACCUCACCUUCAUGUGGGCAGUUGGGAAAAGCAGGAAGGCAGAAGAGGGGCAGGUUUCUCACAGCCCCACCCCUUGGGGGCUGGGUGGCUUUGGGCAAACUGACUUGCCCUCUCUGAGCCUCAGCCCACAUGCCCUAUGGAGUACGGUACCCACAGGAGCUCCCCAGCUGGGUUUGUGGGGUUUCCUUGAGAGCCAAUGGGGAAGUGCCAGGGGUGCCCAGGCCUGCCAGCCCCUCACCCCACCACACGCCACACACACGUAUGCACACAGACAAAUGCACAAAUACACCUGCCAGGCGUCAUGGGAUCCAGAGAGAUACUGGUUUCAGCAGCUGAGGGUGGUUGCUGGGCACUGACCCUGGGGAUGCAGAAGAGCAUCUUGUAGAUGAAGGAGUGAAUGGAUGGCUGAUGGCGGGACGCCCUGUCUGGAGGGGGAAUUGGGUCAGACCCACGGGACCCAGGGUUGGGGUAGGGCAGGGAGCUACUCGUCUGGAGCCUGUGCUCAGACACCCACAGCUGCCUGUCCCUGUGGGGAGACCGAAGCCCAGCACGUGCUCAGGCCCGAGGUCACACAGCAGACCCCGGCCUGGUUCGCUCCCCGGUGAGGUCAGGAAAACAUGGGGUUUUGAGGCAUGAUGUUGGGUGACAUCCACCCCCUGUGGGGACAAGGGCUUCCAGUCCCCAGGCCCUGGGUCCUCCACAAAGUGUUUUUACAGCCUUGCUGGCCCUUGGCCCUUCCUCCUCAGGGCACUGCACCAUACCUGAGAUGACCCCUCAGUGAGACCCUGCUGGGUCGUCGUAGCCCAGGGUGGCCAAAGGUGGCAGGGCCACAUGGACAUCACAGACAGAGCCCGGCUGGCACAGGGCACCCAGGCCCUAGGGCUGCCCCACGAAUGCCCCAUUUCUCCUCGGGCAGCUCGCUCAGCCUCCCUGGGCACUGGAGACACUUGUCCCCAUCCCCACAGCUCUGAGCGCACUAGGGCCCCAGGCCAGGUGGGCUUCUGCAGGUGGAGGCAGCCAGUCAGGAGCUGGCCCUGAAGGUCAGGAGGCAGGCACAGGUGAGCUAGUGCUGUCAGCAGAGCUUAGUGUCAGGUCCCGGGUCGUCUUCAAAGAAUCAUGGCCCUCCCCCCAACCCCCACUGAGUGGAGCCUGGCCCUGGAGUCCUGGCCAUGCUGAUGACAGAGGCCGAGAGGGUGGCCGGGCAUGUGAAGGGCACUGGCCCUCCUGAGGGCGCUGUCCCAUGAGGGGGUGUGUGGGCAGCUUGGGACUCUGUCCUCAAUGUUCCUGGCUGCCCCCUCCCACCCAGACACUGUGCUGCCUCGGGGGCCUCAGACUGAGGCCUUUGGUUGGGGACAUAGAGACCUUUGGGGCCUGUAGUCAUUCCAGCAGCACAGAGCCCUGAGAUUUCCAGGACUGGAAACUUCCAAAGCCCUUUCACAACCACUGGGUCUGCAGCCCCCAAAGAGAUGAGGAGGAGGUUACUCUGCUGAGCAUCUACUAGGUACUAGACAUUUCUGCACCCCCACCCCCACCCCCGUUUAUGGAUGAGGAAACUGAGUCUCCACGGGGCCAGGUUCAGCAUCCUUUGUUAUGGGAAGGCCAGGAGGCUUCCAGGGCAAUGAGCUCCCAAAGGCUGGGGCGCACGGCCCCUAGGAGCCUCAAAGGCCCUGCAGCCCCUCCCAGGAGCAGAGACUGAACAGGGCGAGGCGGGGGCGGGGUGUAAGUAGGCCAGUGCUUUGUGCUGCGUUGCUAUGGCGCUGCCAUUGCUGCUGUGCAGGCUUCCUCCUGGGCUCGUUCCCAGGACACCUCAAGGCAGCUACUAGGCAUCCCUCCCCAGCCCUGCCCAUGCCCCCUCCCCAGUCAGGGGCUGCUCCCAGUCUCUGAGCCCUCCUCUCUCCCCCAGGAUCCUUGCCCACUCUCAGGCUCGGGGAGGGGGGUGGGGCAGGGCGGAGGGGGGAUGGGACACAUAGCAGAGUAUGUCUGACCCACCCAGUCACACACACAGUGACACAUGCAUACACACAGCACAUGUAUGAAUGUACACGGGCUCACAGCACAUUCAUGCAUGCACACAGCACAUGCAUGCAUGCAAACAUGCUCACAACACGCAUGCACGCAUAUGCCUGUGCACACGCUUGUAGCAUACAGGAAUGCACACAUGUGCACACAGCACACAUGCACAGCCACGUGAGGCACUUGGUGAAGCUGCAGGAGCCACUGCAGUUUGAGGCCUCAGGGGCUUCACGCUCACCCCCAGGCGGAGCUGGAGGUGAGGCAGCAGUGGAGACCUCCAGCUCCAAGACCAGUCCCCUCCAGGCUGGGCCUCAGAGGCCUUGGCAAGGGGCCAGCCUUGCCUCAUCCCCUCACUGACUGCGGGAAGGAGGGGAAGGGGCUCUGCUGGCCUAGGAUUUUGGGGACAUGCUGGCCUAAAGGGAAGACAUGAGCGGCACUGAGUUCAGACGGGCCGAUCUCUGGGAGGCGGUGGGACCUGCUGGGCUCCCUCCCACACGAUGGCCCUGUGUGCGCCUCAUUGACCCCAUGAUGGAGCAGAUGUCACCACCCACUUCACAGUGGCCCAGAGACGCACUGGUGGGCAGCUGCCUUGGCCAAGGCCUCGGGUAGUCUCUGGGGCCUAGUGGGGCACAGAAAGGGGCCCCCGUUGUCCACUGAUGUCAAAGGGUGGAGUCUGGGUGUUGGAGGAGGGAGCUGACCCCAGGGUCUCUGAACUCUCACCAAUAAGGACCCCACUGAGGGUGGGCGGGAGAGGGGCAGAGGAGGUGAGUUUCCUAGGGAGGCCCCCUGGGGAGAGGCUGGGCUGCUCCUGGGGGAGCACACCCAGGUCUUCUUUGAGGGUCACAGCUGGGCACUUUGAUCCCGUCUCAGCCUCCCGUCUGACAAUACAGGGCUGGCCAGGGGUGCUCAAGCCCACCUGAGUCUGUGCAGGUGCUGGCUCCUGAGGAGCAGGAGAGGCCUGGGAAAUGGGACGGCUCCCUUACCAACAGGUGGGUCCCAGUGCGAUUCUGACUGCACCUGCCCAGGUGGCUGUGACCCCGUGUGCGCACCUGUCCUUUGGGGUAAGCGCUGCUGUGUGAGGCAGGCUCAGAGGGUGUUCUCGAAGGGCAGGGCCUGGCUCAGAGCAGCGGGGGAGUGGGUGCUGAGAGGCCCCACAAAGCUUCCUUGGGCCGGGGCUCAGUGGAGG